CAGCCGCCGCGGUAAUGCGUAGGGUGCGAGCGUUAAUCGGAAUUACUGGGCGUAAAGCGUGCGCAGGCGGUUGUGUAAGACAGGUGUGAAAUCCCCGGGCUUAACCUGGGAACUGCGCUUGUGACUGCACAGCUAGAGUAUGGCAGAGGGGGGUGGAAUUCCACGUGUAGCAGUGAAAUGCGUAGAGAUGUGGAGGAACACCGAUGGCGAAGGCAGCCCCCUGGGCCAAUACUGACGCCCAUGCACGAAAGCGUGGGGAGCAAACAGGAUUAGAUACCCCCGUAGUCCCUGUCUCUUAUAC
Molecule: ribosomal RNA, 301 nt
Filed under: uncultured bacterium
Lineage: Bacteria
Description: partial 16S ribosomal RNA
Rfam family: Bacterial small subunit ribosomal RNA
Source: RNAcentral